This 341-nucleotide ribosomal RNA is filed under the name Zobellella iuensis. Its description in RNAcentral is "bacterial SSU rRNA". It matches the Rfam family "Bacterial small subunit ribosomal RNA", at positions 1 to 336 of the family's 1533-position model. The record is from RNAcentral. Lineage: Bacteria; Pseudomonadati; Pseudomonadota; Gammaproteobacteria; Aeromonadales; Aeromonadaceae.
AAAUUGAAGAGUUUGAUCAUGGCUCAGAUUGAACGCUGGCGGCAGGCCUAACACAUGCAAGUCGAGCGGCAGCGGGAAAGUAGCUUGCUACUUUUGCCGGCGAGCGGCGGACGGGUGAGUAAGGCUUGGGUAUCUGCCCAGUCGAGGGGGAUAACCGUUGGAAACGACGGCUAAUACCGCAUACGCCCUACGGGGGAAAGCAGGGGACCUUCGGGCCUUGCGCGAUUGGAUGGGCCCAAGUGAGAUUAGCUAGUUGGUGAGGUAAUGGCUCACCAAGGCGACGAUCUCUAGCUGGUCUGAGAGGAUGACCAGCCACACUGGGACUGAGACACGGCCCAGAC